Non-coding RNA from Marmota flaviventris (yellow-bellied marmot), 734 nucleotides. Lineage: Eukaryota; Metazoa; Chordata; Mammalia; Rodentia; Sciuridae. The record is from RefSeq and is a predicted model, not a curated record.
CGUGGCUGCUGUUCGACCUUUACCGAGGAAGGUGCUGCAGGUUCCCUUCGUGCUUACAAAGGUUCCCUGGGGCAAAUGCCAAAGAGUGAAAGUGGACCAAAGGGUACCAGUGUGGUGACUGGAGACCCAGAUGCCUUCCCAGCUUGACCUUGCUGAGCUGCGCCUGGUGGGAAUUCCAAGCUCGGGCCUGGCUGGAGAGAAAGGACCCCCCUAGCCGUGUUUCCAGGGCACAGCCUGAAAGGGGACUGGACCUGGCACUGGACUGGACUCAUUCAGACCUCUGGCUUUCACUCUGAGGUGGGAAUGGGGUGUGGGGGUGUCGGCACUUGGAGAGGGUGCUCUGUGGCAGUGUGACCAGAUGAAAACCUCUAGGGCACAAAGCAGAAGAAGAAACAACUUGGUGAGAUCUUCCGUAUGAGUGGACAGGAGCUGCACAGCCGUGACUGUGGUCAGGGACUUCAAAAGCAGAAACUGGCCGGGUCCUCUCUGCCACCCCCCCUCCGUUCUUCCAAACACACAGAGAAAUCCUGGCCUCUCCUGUGGGUCCCCCAUCAGUCUCUCCUCCAGGGUGUCAGGGUUGCUGUGCUCAGGUGUGGGGGUCUGCUGUAGCUCAGGUGUGGAAUUCCAGGUGUGUUGACACCAUCCACCUUAAAUUCCUAGGGGCACAGAAUGUAUGGUGCAUUUUAUUCACCUCAGAAAUGAACAAAACAUGAAAUUAAAGAAAAUUUCAUUGA